This 619-nucleotide ribosomal RNA is filed under the name uncultured bacterium. RNAcentral describes it as "bacterial SSU rRNA". It matches the Rfam family "Bacterial small subunit ribosomal RNA", at positions 67 to 719 of the family's 1533-position model. The record is from RNAcentral.
CGAAGUAGUGCCUAUGCGCUAUUUAGUGGCUAACGGGUGAGUAACACGUAGCUUAGCUGUCCUAAAGUGGGGGAUAGCCGCGGGAAGCCGCGGGUAAUACCGCAUGUGAUCUACGGAUUAAAGCUUAAUGCGCUUUAGGAGGUGGCUGCGGCCCAUCAGGUUGUUGGCGGGGUAAUGGCCCACCAAGCCUAUGACGGGUAUCCGGCCUGAGAGGGUGAUCGGACACAUUGGAACUGAGACACGGUCCAGACUCCUACGGGAGGCAGCAGCUAGGAAUUUUCCGCAAUGGACGAAAGUCUGACGGAGCAACGCCGCGUGAAGGAUGAAGGUCUUUAGGGAUUGUAAACUUCUUUUAUAUGAGACGAGUAAGGACGGUAUCAUAAGAAUAAGUCCCGGCUAACUACGUGCCAGCAGCCGCGGUAAUACGUAGGGGGCUAGCGUUGUUCGGAAUUACUGGGUAUAAAGGGUGCGCAGGCGGAUUUCUAAGCAAGAGGUGAAAUGUCAAGGCUCAACCAUGGCACUGCCUUUUGAACUGGUUAUCUGGAGUACAGAAGGGGAGAGCAGAAUUUCCGGUGUAGGGGUGGAAUCUAUAGAUAUCGGAAGGAAUACCGUUCGCGAA